Molecule: ribosomal RNA, 1940 nt
Filed under: freshwater metagenome
Description: bacterial LSU rRNA
Rfam family: Bacterial large subunit ribosomal RNA
Source: RNAcentral
UCAAGCGAAUAAGUGCAUGAGGUGGAUGCCUUGGCGAUAACAGGCGAUGAAGGACGCGACAGCCUGCGAUAAGCCUCGGGGAGCCGGCAAAUAGGCGUUGAUCCGAGGAUUUCCGAAUGGGGAAACCCAACCCGCAAGGGUCACCCGCACCUGAAUACAUAGGGUGCGAGGAGCGAACCUGGAGAACUGAAACAUCUCAGUAACCAGAGGAACAGAAAUCAACCGAGAUUCCCAAAGUAGUGGCGAGCGAAUUGGGAAGAGCCUUCAUGAUUUAGCAUUCUUGUUAGUGGAACAGUCUGGAAAGUCUGGCCAUAGUGGGUGAUAGCCCCGUACGCGAAAAGUGCUGUGUGGAACUAGGCUCGAGACAAGUAGGGCGGGACACGUGAAAUCCUGUCUGAAGAUGGGGGGACCAUCCUCCAAGGCUAAAUACUCGUGAUCGACCGAUAGUGAACCAGUACCGUGAGGGAAAGGCGAAAAGAACCCCGGGAGGGGAGUGAAAUAGAUCCUGAAACCGCAUGCAUACAAAAAGUAGGAGCCCGCAAGGGUGACUGCGUACCUUUUGUAUAAUGGGUCAGCGACUUACAUUCAGUGGCAAGCUUAACCGAAUAGGGGAGGCGCAGCGAAAGCGAGUCCGAACAGGGCGACUGAGUUGGUAGGCGUAGACCCGAAACCGGAUGAUCUAGCCAUGGCCAGGCUGAAGCGGGGGUAACACCUCGUGGAGGGCCGAACCCACUCCCGUUGAAAAGGUAGGGGAUGAGCUGUGGCUAGGGGCGAAAGGCUAAUCAAAUCCGGAAAUAGCUGGUUCUCUCCGAAAACUAUUUAGGUAGUGCCUCAAGUAUUACCAUCGGGGGUAGAGCACUGUUAUGGCUAGGGGGUCAUGGCGACUUACCAAACCAUUGCAAACUCCGAAUACCGAUGAGUACAGCUUGGGAGACAGUGCACCGGGUGCUAACGUCCGGACUCAAGAGGGAAACAACCCAGACCGCCAGCUAAGGUCCCUAAUAUUGGCUAAGUGGGAAACGAAGUGGGAAGGCUAAAACAGUCAGGAUGUUGGCUUAGAAGCAGCCAUCAUUUAAAGAAAGCGUAAUAGCUCACUGAUCGAGUCGUCCUGCGCGGAAGAUGUAACGGGGCUAAGCCAGUAACCGAAGCUGCGGAUCGUGGCAACACGAUGGUAGGAGAGCGUUCCGUAAGCCUGUGAAGGUGUGUCGCGAGGCAUGCUGGAGGUAUCGGAAGUGCGAAUGCUGACAUGAGUAGCGUUAAAGGGGGUGAAAAGCCCCCUCGCCGAAAGCGCAAGGUUUCCUACGCAACGUUCAUCGGCGUAGGGUGAGUCGGCCCCUAAGGCGAGGCAGAGAUGCGUAGCUGAUGGGAAACAGGUCAAUAUUCCUGUACCGAUUACAAGUGCGAUGUGGGGACGGAUCUUAAUAGGUUAUCCGGCGGUUGGAUGUGCCGGUUUAGACAGAUGUAGGCGACACGUAGGCAAAUCCGCGUGUCAUAUACCGAGGCUGUUGAUCGAGCGAGCUUGCUCGCGAAGUAACUGAACGAGGUCCCAGGAAAAGCCACUAAGCUUCAGCUUGUAAUUGACCGUACCGCAAACCGACACUGGUGCGCGAGAUGAGUAUUCUAAGGCGCUUGAGAGAACUCUGGAGAAGGAACUCGGCAAAUUGACACCGUAACUUCGGAAGAAGGUGUGCCCUAGUAGAUUGGGGGAGAACAUCCCUAGGUCGAACGGGCCGCAGAGAAUCGGUGGCUGCGACUGUUUAUUAAAAACACAGCACUCUGCAAACACGAAAGUGGACGUAUAGGGUGUGACGCCUGCCCGGUGCUGGAAGAUUAAAUGAUGGGGUGCAAGCUCUUGAUUGAAGUCCCAGUAAACGGCGGCCGUAACUAUAACGGUCCUAAGGUAGCGAAAUUCCUUGUCGGGUAAGUUCCGACCUGCACGA